GCGUCAAUUUGACCUCAAAGGACACCAACACUUACUCUUUAUAAAGUGUACGUUUACGGAAAAUGUGAUACAUUCAAUAAUUCAUACGUUUUCCAUUAGGAACAGGCAUUAUAGCUAGUAAGAUAGCAGACAUACUGUUAUGUGUUCUUCUUAGCAGCAAGUAGUAACGUCAGCUAGCUAAGCUAAUCAAAUGGCAAUGGGAUGGGCAGUGGUGUUGAGGGGUUUCUUGCCUCUGUGUUUACGUCGACUUGCCCGCUUGGCCGCCAACAAUUACAUGGGCGCAAGGAUUCGUCCAGUCUGCACAGACCUAACGGUGUCAUGUCGCUACCCUCUUUGGACAACCCAUCCUGUAAGAACACUACAUCUGUGCUCUAACUUGUGUGCUGGUCAUAAUAAGUGGUCUAAGGUGAAAAAUAUAAAAGGACCCAAAGAUGCAGCCCGGAGUCGAAUGUUCAUGAAGUUUGGGAUGAUGAUAAGAAUUGCAGUCAAAGAAGGAGGAUCUAGUAAUCCAGAAUUCAAUCUAGCAUUGGCAAAUGUAGUGGAGCAAUGCCGAGGCAAGAACAUGCCCAAAGUGUCCAUAGAAGCUGCCAUCAAGGGAGCGAUACCUUAAAAAAGUAGGGGCAUGGACAGAAAACCAGUCCGUAUCUGGUGUGACCACCAUUUGCCUCAAGCAGCGAUAUUUCCUUCGCAUCGAGUUGAUCAGGCUGUUGAUUGUGGCCAGUGGAAUGUUGUCCCACUCCUCUUCAAUGGCUGUGCGAAGUUGCUGGAUAUUGGCGGGAACUACCCCACCUCCACCAUGGGGGACUCUAUUCACAUCAGCAAAACCUCCAAACCACACGACAACAUACACACUGAUGUCAUUGAAACCGGGAUUCAUCCAUGAAGAGCGCACUUCUCCAACGUGCCAGUGGCCAUCAAAGGUGAGCAUUUGCCCACUGAAGAUGGUUAAGACGCUGAACUGCAGUCAGGUCAAGACCCUGGUGUGUCUAAAGAUUUCUUACAGUUUGUGCAGAAAUUCUUCAGUUGUGCAAAUCCACAGUUUCAUUAGCUGUCCGGGUGGCUGGUCUCAGACGAUCCCACAGGUGAUGAAGCUGGAUGUGGAGGUCCUGGGCUGGCAUGGUUACACGUGGUCUGCGGUUGAGGCCUGUUGGACAUACUGCCAAAUUCUCUAAAUUGACGUUGGAGGCGGCUUAUGGUAGAGAAAUAAACAUUAAAUUUUCUUGCAACAGCUCUUGUGAACAUUCCUGCAGUCAGCAUGCCAAUUGCAUGCUCCCUCAACUUGAGACAUCUGUGGCAUUGUGUUGUGUGACAAAACUGCACAUUUUUAGAGAGGCCUUUUAUUGUCCCCAGCACAAUGUCCACCUGUGUAACGAUCACUUCUUGAUAUGCCACACCUGUCAGGUGGAUGAAUUAUCAAUAAAACUAUUUAAUUCCUGUGUUAACUGCUCAGAAAUCUGGAAGGACAUGGCUACAAUGUCACUGCAUGAAUGUGAAGUUAUCAAACACGCCUUAUCUGAUACUGUUUGUUUCAGCACUGUUGAUAUGGUAAAUCAUCAACACUUAAUUUCAGCCUUUCUUGGAACAAAUAUGACGGGGAAAACUUUCUGAACAAAAUGCAUUUGAUAGGUGUUAAAGAUCAACAAAUGUCCGUUUGGUUUUAUUGUUUUCCAUGAUAAACAUUACAUCAGGAAGGAAAAGGCGCAACUCUCGCUCGCAAUUAAAAAUGUGGUACUUUAUUUUUCUAAAUAUGACAAAUUGUGACAUCUUGGCAGUCAAUAGCCUUCAUCAGACUCAUGAUAAAUGUUGCAAGUCUUUGUGCUCAUACACUAUAGAACAUAAAACCCAUCUAUAAUGUU
This is a long non-coding RNA of Oncorhynchus masou masou (cherry salmon), 1856 nucleotides long. RefSeq lists it as uncharacterized. The record is from RefSeq and is a predicted model, not a curated record. NCBI's taxonomy places the organism in Eukaryota, Metazoa, Chordata, Actinopteri, Salmoniformes, Salmonidae. The transcript has 4 exons.